GAUGAACGCUGGCGGCGUGCCUAACACAUGCAAGUCGAGCGGCAGCGAGGGGUGCUUGCACUCUGUCGGCGAGCGGCGGACGGCUGAGUAACGCGUGGGAACGUGCCCCAAAGUGAGGAAUAACUGCCCGAAAGGGUAGCUAAUACCGCAUAUUAUCUUCGGAUCAAAGGAUUCAUCCGCUUUGGGAGCGGCUCGCGUCGGAUUAGGUAGUUGGCGAGGUAAUGGCUCACCAAGCCGACGAUCCGUAGCUGGUCUGAGAGGAUGACCAGCCAGACUGGAACUGAGACACGGUCCAGACUCCUACGGGAGGCAGCAGUGAGGAAUCUUCCACAAUGGGCGAAAGCCUGAUGGAGCAACGCCGCGUGCAGGACGAAGGCCUUCGGGUUGUAAACUGCUUUUAUAAGUGAGGAAUAUGACGGUAACUUAUGAAUAAGGAUCGGCUAACUACGUG
Molecule: ribosomal RNA, 451 nt
Filed under: uncultured bacterium
Lineage: Bacteria
Description: partial 16S ribosomal RNA
Rfam family: Bacterial small subunit ribosomal RNA
Source: RNAcentral